CGAACGGCAGCACGGGAGCAAUCCUGGUGGCGAGUGGCGAACGGGUGAGUAAUACAUCGGAACGUGUCCUGUAGUGGGGGAUAGCCCGGCGAAAGCCGGAUUAAUACCGCAUACGCUCUGCGGAGGAAAGCGGGGGAUCCUUCGGGACCUCGCGCUACAGGGGCGGCCGAUGGCAGAUUAGCUAGUUGGUGGGGUAAAGGCCUACCAAGGCGACGAUCUGUAGCUGGUCUGAGAGGACGACCAGCCACACUGGGACUGAGACACGGCCCAGACUCCUACGGGAGGCAGCAGUGGGGAAUUUUGGACAAUGGGCGCAAGCCUGAUCCAGCAAUGCCGCGUGUGUGAAGAAGGCCUUCGGGUUGUAAAGCACUUUUGUCCGGAAAGAAAACCUCGUGGUUAAUACCCGUGGGGGAUGACGGUACCGGAAGAAUAAGCACCGGCUAACUACGUGCCAGCAGCCGCGGUAAUACGUAGGGUGCAAGCGUUAAUCGGAAUUACUGGGCGUAAAGCGUGCGCAGGCGGUUCGCUAAGACAGAUGUGAAAUCCCCGGGCUUAACCUGGGAACUGCAUUUGUGACUGGCGGGCUAGAGUAUGGCAGAGGGGGGUAGAAUUCCACGUGUAGCAGUGAAAUGCGUAGAGAUGUGGAGGAAUACCGAUGGCGAAGGCAGCCCCCUGCGCCAAUACUGACGCUCAUGCACGAAAGCGUGGCGAGCAAACAGGAUUAGAUACUCUGGUAGUCCACGCUCUACACGAUGUCAACUAGUUGUCGGGUCUUCAUUGACUUGGUAACGUAGCUAACGCGUGAAGUUGACCGCCUGGGGAGUACGGUCGCAAGAUUAAAACUCAAAGGAAUUGACGGGGACCCGCACAAGCGGUGGAUGAUGUGGAUUAAUUCGAUGCAACGCGAAAAACCUUACCUACCCUUGACAUGUAUGGAACCCUGCUGAGAGGUGGGGGUGCCCGAAAGGGAGCCAUAACACAGGUGCUGCAUGGCUGUCGUC
RNAcentral lists this ribosomal RNA (1001 nucleotides) under Paraburkholderia caledonica. Its description in RNAcentral is "bacterial SSU rRNA". It matches the Rfam family "Bacterial small subunit ribosomal RNA", at positions 63 to 1056 of the family's 1533-position model. The record is from RNAcentral. Lineage: Bacteria; Pseudomonadati; Pseudomonadota; Betaproteobacteria; Burkholderiales; Burkholderiaceae.